This 406-nucleotide ribosomal RNA is filed under the name uncultured bacterium. RNAcentral's name for it is "partial 16S ribosomal RNA". It matches the Rfam family "Bacterial small subunit ribosomal RNA", at positions 30 to 526 of the family's 1533-position model. The record is from RNAcentral.
AUUGAACGCUGGCGGCAGGCCUAACACAUGCAAGUCGAACGAGUGGCGGACGGGUGAGUAAUGUCUGGGAAACUGCCCGAUGGAGGGGGAUAACUACUGGAAACGGUAGCUAAUACCGCAUACCAUCGGAUGUGCCCAGAUGGGAUUAGCUAGUAGGUGGGGUAACGGCUCACCUAGGCGACGAUCCCUAGCUGGUUUGAGAGGAUGACCAGCCCCACUGGAACUGAGACACGGUCCAGACUCCUACGGUAGGAAGCAGUGGGGAAUAUUGCACAAUGGGCGCAAGCCUGAUGCAGCCAUGCCGCGUGUAUGAAGAAGGCCUUCGGGUUGUAAAGUACUUUCAGCGGGGAGGCGUUACCCGCAGAAGAAGCCCCGGCUAACUCCGUGCCAGCAGCCGCGGUAAUAC